Molecule: ribosomal RNA, 253 nt
Filed under: uncultured bacterium
Lineage: Bacteria
Description: partial 16S ribosomal RNA
Rfam family: Bacterial small subunit ribosomal RNA
Source: RNAcentral
UACGUAGGUGGCAAGCGUUGUCCGGAAUUACUGGGCGUAAAGCGUGCGCAGGCGGUUCGUUAUGUCCGUUGUGAAAGCCCCGGGCUCAACCUGGGAAUGGCAAUGGAAACUGGCGGGCUAGAGUGUGGCAGAGGGGGGUGGAAUUCCGCGUGUAGCAGUGAAAUGCGUAGAGGUGCGGAGGAACACCGAUGGCGAAGGCAGCCCCCUGGGCUGACACUGACGCUCAGGCACGAAAGCGUGGGGAGCAAACAGG